Molecule: long non-coding RNA, 1956 nt
Organism: Camelus dromedarius (Arabian camel)
Lineage: Eukaryota; Metazoa; Chordata; Mammalia; Artiodactyla; Camelidae
Exons: 20
Source: RefSeq, a predicted model, not a curated record
GGCGGUCUACCCGGGGCCAGGCGGGAGCUGCUUUACGGCAGGGGCGGGCGGGGGGCGCAGUUGAGUCCCACCGGCUCCCGCGCGAGGAUCGGAGCGGCCCGGGUCUCCCCUCGCGGCGCGCGGCCGCAGCCAGAGGAGGCAGAGCGCGGAAGGAAAGGUGGAGAAGGGACAUCAUCGGGGACGUCGGUCCAUCUCUAGGCGCUGGUGUUCUGGAGGAGGCAGAGCGCGGAAGGAAAGGUGGAGAAGGGACAUCAUCGGGGACGUCGGUCCAUCUCUAGGCGCUGGUGUUCUGGAUACAGGACCUUGGUGAGGGCCAUUAGUUCAGCGGACCCUUCUGGGAAGCUCUCCACGGGAGUGUGUUCCGUACUCUACCCUCAAACCCCGGACUCGUUCGCACCUAUGUACUUACGUAUUUACGUACGUAAGGGUGCGCGUGUGUCGUAAGGAGAGGAGGCAGAGCGCGGAAGGAAAGGUGGAGAAGGGACAUCAUCGGGGACGUCGGUCCAUCUCUAGGCGCUGGUGUUCUGGAGGAGGCAGAGCGCGGAAGGAAAGGUGGAGAAGGGACAUCAUCGGGGACGUCGGUCCAUCUCUAGGCGCUGGUGUUCUGGAGGAGGCAGAGCGCGGAAGGAAAGGUGGAGAAGGGACAUCAUCGGGGACGUCGGUCCAUCUCUAGGCGCUGGUGUUCUGGAGGAGGCAGAGCGCGGAAGGAAAGGUGGAGAAGGGACAUCAUCGGGGACGUCGGUCCAUCUCUAGGCGCUGGUGUUCUGGAGGAGGCAGAGCGCGGAAGGAAAGGUGGAGAAGGGACAUCAUCGGGGACGUCGGUCCAUCUCUAGGCGCUGGUGUUCUGGAGGAGGCAGAGCGCGGAAGGAAAGGUGGAGAAGGGACAUCAUCGGGGACGUCGGUCCAUCUCUAGGCGCUGGUGUUCUGGAGGAGGCAGAGCGCGGAAGGAAAGGUGGAGAAGGGACAUCAUCGGGGACGUCGGUCCAUCUCUAGGCGCUGGUGUUCUGGAGGAGGCAGAGCGCGGAAGGAAAGGUGGAGAAGGGACAUCAUCGGGGACGUCGGUCCAUCUCUAGGCGCUGGUGUUCUGGAGGAGGCAGAGCGCGGAAGGAAAGGUGGAGAAGGGACAUCAUCGGGGACGUCGGUCCAUCUCUAGGCGCUGGUGUUCUGGAGGAGGCAGAGCGCGGAAGGAAAGGUGGAGAAGGGACAUCAUCGGGGACGUCGGUCCAUCUCUAGGCGCUGGUGUUCUGGAGGAGGCAGAGCGCGGAAGGAAAGGUGGAGAAGGGACAUCAUCGGGGACGUCGGUCCAUCUCUAGGCGCUGGUGUUCUGGAGGAGGCAGAGCGCGGAAGGAAAGGUGGAGAAGGGACAUCAUCGGGGACGUCGGUCCAUCUCUAGGCGCUGGUGUUCUGGAGGAGGCAGAGCGCGGAAGGAAAGGUGGAGAAGGGACAUCAUCGGGGACGUCGGUCCAUCUCUAGGCGCUGGUGUUCUGGGUCACAGUUUUGUAAGAAAAUCAAAGGGCAUGAUCAACAGCUUGUGCACUGCCUUGGUGUGGAACCAGAGUUCAAGCACAGACAAAAAUCAGACACUGAUUUCCCACUUCUGAUAGAAAAAUGAAGAAUUCAGAACCCAACCGUAAACUCAAGACAAGCCGCAAAAAUAGGAAUAGAAACUCAAAGACCUUGGAACAGAAUUGCAGCAUGAAACCCAGGAGCAUGGACUCACAGGGGGCUCUUAAAUUCCAGGACCACCUCCACUGCAUCCACAGGCAGGUGAGGGGCCAUCCCCACCACCGUCUCUACCAGUGCCACCUCUACCCACAGGAAUUGCUCCUCCUCCUCCUCCAACUCCUUUAUCUCUACUAAAUGGUACACCAUACCCACCACCAUCACCUUUGUUUGGGCAUCUCCUGGUGUAACCUAAAACAUGAAGCAGAAAUAAAUGUAUAAAACUGACCUUCA